UGGGGAAUCUUAGACAAUGGGGGCAACCCUGAUCUAGCCAUGCCGCGUGAGUGAUGAAGGCCUUAGGGUUGUAAAGCUCUUUCAGCUGGGAAGAUAAUGACGGUACCAGCAGAAGAAGCCCCGGCUAACUCCGUGCCAGCAGCCGCGGUAAUACGGAGGGGGCUAGCGUUGUUCGGAAUUACUGGGCGUAAAGCGCACGUAGGCGGACUGAAAAGUUGGAGGUGAAAUCCCAGGGCUCAACCUUGGAACUGCCUUCAAAACUAUCAGUCUGGAGUUCGAGAGAGGUGAGUGGAAUUCCGAGUGUAGAGGUGAAAUUCGUAGAUAUUCGGAGGAACACCAGUGGCGAGGGCGGCUCACUGGCUCGAUACUGACGCUGAGGUGCGAAAGCUUGGGGAGCAAACA
Molecule: ribosomal RNA, 402 nt
Filed under: uncultured prokaryote
Description: bacterial SSU rRNA
Rfam family: Bacterial small subunit ribosomal RNA
Source: RNAcentral